GCGUCUUUGUAAAUCAUAUUAAAUAGAAAAGAUAACAACUGAUUGUGUAGUAUGUCCCAAAAGGGGUAGAAACAAUAAUUAAAAUUUUAACAUUACAAUAUUGUUUUAAUAAAGGCAUUUUGGCUACUUUCUUACUGUGAGUUAGCCAUUCUACUUUUUUAUCCUUUUACUUUUUUACUACUACCAUCCUUUUUAUCCGGUACCAGAAGUGUUUUUACUUUCCAGUGAGGAUAUUACUCAGAAGAAUCAUAGGUGGGGAUUAUACCACUCAAGCUGUAUUCAUUGAACAGUUAGUCUGUUCAAUCAAAUGUGAGUAACCACUUGGUAUUUUAUCUUUUCACCUCUGGCAUUUUAUACUUUGAGCACUAUUGCUGUCCCCGUUUUUAUUUUCACAUACGGUUCCCUAAUCAAGCAAGAAUACAAAGACCUCACAUAUCCCAUAAGUGGGGAUUAUACCACUGUACGUUAUCAACACUAGAGCUAAGCUCAUAGCUCUAAGAAACGUGAGUAGGACCAUAUAUUCUUUUAUUGUUUCUACCCCUUUUGGGACAUACUACACCAUCAGUUGUUAUCUUUUCUAUUUCAUAUAAUU
Pelobates cultripes (western spadefoot toad) is the source of this 592-nucleotide non-coding RNA. Lineage: Eukaryota; Metazoa; Chordata; Amphibia; Anura; Pelobatidae. The record is from the annotation of a GenBank genome assembly.